UCAUCUAUAGAAACAGUGUUACCUGUUAUAUUUAGCUAAUGAGGAAAUAUUGGACAUACUGGCCACUGGUUUAAAACGCUUCCACUAGUAGAAACUAGAAGCAGUUGUUUUUGGCAGAGAUGGGCAGAGUGUUGAUCAGCAUUAACCGAAAGACCUUCAAAGUCUUCUCCGUUUUUGCAGUUUCAGACAGGAAACAGCUGCACUGGGACAGGAAGUGGGGUAUGGGUACCCAGUUAGGACACAAUUGACUAUUCUGUGGCAAAUGCAUUUGGCUCCAACAAAAGGACGCUCACCCCGAGGGACCGCGGGUCAUCUUCGGACCUCCUUGGGCUGUUUUGCUGCUUUGUUCUGGCCGGCGUUUUUUUUUCUCAGGAGUCUUUAAUGUAACGUUUCCUUCCUCGCUCUGCCGCCUCCCCCCCUCCCCCGCUUCAAAGCCCCCUUUCCUGCAGAAUCCCCCUGCGUUAACUCCUCUUAUCUGCUUUGUCUUGGUGCAGAAAACAACUUUGAGGAGAUCAGCAGAAGGAACAGUUGGCCUUCAGGGCCAUUGCCUGCAGUUCCCAAAGGUUCUCCAGUGGAGCAGCAGCACAACAGCAGGAUUACAGAACCCUCACAGAGACCCAAUCAAGACCCCUACCAAGCAUUAGGCCCAAUCAGCAGCCGGCUGGCAAACCCUGGUAAGAACUUUCAGACGCUACAACACCAAACGAGAGUUUCACAAAAAACAAACUGAGGCUCCUCCUCUGUUGGGCAUGUUCACGUUAGCAUAAUAGCUUUAGCCAGCAUAUUCCAGAUCACUUUCUCCACUAUCUCCAGUCCCAGUGUCUAAUACCAGUCCCUAGUAAGCUUACAUAGUGGUGGUUAUAAAUCACUUGACUGAAUUAGCUAUAGCCAGUUAGCUUUCCUGUUCAGGAGAAAAGUAGCAGCUCUGGGUCGGUCUUGUAGUCUUCUUUACCUUUCGAACUCACUGCCAAUAAUCGCUCUUUAACACCAAUUGUUCGCUGUAGUGUAUCGUACUGGCCACCUCAGGGGUUGAGUUAACGUUGGGGAACGAGCAGAUACCUGUGAUGCACUGCACUGUCCAAAUAGGAAAGUACUGCCUGAAGCCCUGAUGAAAAGCUGCCAGUGCUCUAACUUAACAUGUUUUCUUAAUAUCUGAUGAUACAUCCUGAUCAUUUUAUCAUUUACUAAUGAAAAUUAGUUACAUAUUGGUCCUUUAAUAAUGCAACACCCUCAGAUGAAGGCAUUAGUUGGCGAACCCUAUUUUAGUGAUCUUUAGGUGAGCGGUCAACCAUGCACCGAGCAGCUUGAUUGGCGUAGAUAUAUUCAGAAUCACUGUUGCUAUUUAAACAAGGCAGGUGGAAGAUGAGAAAAUAGACUAUUGGUCGAGUGUAAGAUAGCAAUGAGCAUCGCGACGCAUCUUACGCAGGGGGUAAGAUAAAGCCCUAAGUGUGUUCACAUGCACAUCGUAAUCAGAUUUCUGCAGUACAUCCCAGUUUAUUAGUAAUCCGAUCAACCCGCUUCGUGGUCUUGGGUAUUCAGAUAAUGUGAAAACUUAUAUAAACGUUUAUAUAUAUAUCUGCCUUGCAACCAGCCAAUCAACUCACAGAAUAAGACGUGACAAUUUUUUUUUUUACAACCAGAAUG
This 1644-nucleotide long non-coding RNA is filed under the name Astyanax mexicanus (Mexican tetra). RNAcentral describes it as "lncRNA (ENSAMXG00005005070.1)". The record is from RNAcentral. Lineage: Eukaryota; Metazoa; Chordata; Actinopteri; Characiformes; Acestrorhamphidae.